RNA transcript from Oncorhynchus tshawytscha (Chinook salmon), 2431 nucleotides. It is a transcript of the gene named inhibitor of growth protein 4, with no coding region annotated. NCBI's taxonomy places the organism in Eukaryota, Metazoa, Chordata, Actinopteri, Salmoniformes, Salmonidae. The transcript is spliced from 8 exons. The record is from RefSeq and is a predicted model, not a curated record.
GUACUCCAGUCUCGUAGGUGGCGGUAAUGCAACAAAUUGGAUGCCAACCGCCGUUAAACCUCAUAAAAACCUCGGGAAAAACCUUUGUUUAUUAUUUUCAAGAUGGCGGCGGGAAUGUAUUUAGAACAUUACCUUGACAGUAUAGAAAAUCUGCCGUUUGAGCUACAGAGGAAUUUCACUCUUAUGAGAGACCUGGACACACGGACAGAGGAUCUGAAAGGGCAGAUAGACUCUUUGGCUCGUGAGUACACGUCAAACACACACACCCUCUCCUCUGAGCAGAAGCUCUCCCUGCUCCGGCAGAUCCAGCAGUCAUAUGGCAAGUGUAAAGAGUUUGGAGAUGAUAAGGUCCAACUGGCCAUGCAGACCUAUGAGAUGGUGGACAAACACAUUCGCAGGCUGGACACAGACCUGGCCCGCUUCGAGGCAGACCUGAAGGAGAAAAAGAUUGAGAGCACAGACUAUGACUCAACCUCUAGUAAGGGAAUCAAGAGUGAGCUCAGGGGACCAAAAGAGAAGAAGGUGGCUCGCACAAGGUUAAAGGUGAAGUCAGAUGACGACUGCAGCCCCAAAAGCGGACAGAAGAAAGUCAAACUAACACAAGCGCCUGAGUUCACAGCCCCUACAGUGAACUUUGGGAACGUCCACCCCUCGGACGUGCUGGACAUGCCCGUGGACCCCAACGAGCCCACCUACUGCCUGUGUCACCAAGUGUCCUACGGAGAGAUGAUUGGCUGUGACAACACAGACAGAGAAGCAAUGACAUCACGUCCUGAGAUGACGGAAUUGAAAUGAACCCCAACCCUGAUUGGGUCAACUAUUCACUAUGAUCCAAAUCCUAACCUGAUAUCUGGGCACUAGAAUGUUCCUACAAAAAAUACCACAUUGACAUGAAUGUGUGAUUUUACCUAAAAGUUAGAUUUAUAAAACAGUGUUUAGAAAUGAGCGAUGGCUUUGGAAUUUUUGGCACUUAAAUCAAAGAUGAAUUAAGUAAAACCUAAAUAAAGGCUAGUUAAUUUUGGCCCACUAGAGGGCAGUAAAAGCAUUAUAAAAGUCUCUCCCGGCACUAAUGGAAUACUAAGCAGAAUGUAUUGUGUUGGACUCAUUGCAGUGCUCCAUUGAGUGGUUCCACUUCGCCUGCGUGGGGCUGACAACAAAACCCAGAGGAAAAUGGUACUGUCCAAGGUGUACUCAGGAGAGGAAGAAAAAAUGAACCCAGAGACAAUCAUAACCAACAAUCAUAACGCCAGAGUUUACAAAGGAGGGUUCAGUGUUUGUAUUGGAACAUGGGGAAACCCUCCAUAAACACUAACAUGGACCCCGCAGGGUCAUGUUUAAUAGGUCACACCGUCGCAAAUUGUCAAAACCAAAAUGAGCAUUGGACAAGUCCAGAGUAGCCCCUUCCCUGUAUCAGUCCAUAUUCUUCAGUUCAGUGUCUAAUGAACAUGACACCCACACACACACAGUAUUAGGGUCCUGCUGGUCUGCCAUCCUGUAUAAUUCUUUGUUAAACAGAAAGAAGCAAUGAUGGACAUUUGACAGAGGUGUAGUUACAGACAUUCCCCAAUCAUGACUAUUAUGUUGCAUUUUAUUUUUGAACUUUUUUUGACAGAUGCUUUAAUGUCUUUAUAUGCAGAGUAAUACAGGGACGUAUACCCUUAUUUUACAGCCGGUGGUUCUAUAUGGCUCUCAGCCACUUGGUUGCUUCAUGACAGACUAACAGCAACUCCUACUGGAUGCUUUUAUACUGAACACUAUUCAGCCCUGAUACACGCAGAUCACAUGUGUUAACUCUAAUUUUCCAACUUCACCCCUGGUUAUUUCCAUAUCAGACUUUUGGGGGACAGAACAUUUAUUGAUUAAGCAGAGUCAUUGAUUUAGUUGAUAGAUUUGACUCAAUGAGAAUAUACAGAUCUAGAUGUCCUAGUUCAGAAUGCAGUCGGAAGCAAUCAGAAGCAGACAGAAUUUCUCUCGCACAUUCGCUUAAACAGCAGUGACCUGAAUUGCAGGUUGUUUGCACAAAAUUAGUGCGCUGGAAAUGGAAUUGCUUAAAGGAAUGUAGAUGCUAACACUUUCAAAUAUAUAUGGAUAUUUUGAUAGGCCCCAACUCUCAUCAUUCAACAAUGUCCUGUAUAUUUCUAUUAUGGAGAGGCAUAUCUUUGACUGGCUAUGUUUAUGAAGAGCCUUAUUGAUCAUUACUGUAAGAAUAACAAUUUAAAUGUGCUUAAAAGUAUCAGAGUUACCUGAUACUUUGCCCAGUAGGUUUUGACUGGUGCCUCAAGAAUAUUAUUUCAAGUUAAACUAAUGAACAUUUAUUUUGUUGCCAUUUACUUUUUGUAUUCAAAGUGUAAUUGAAUACUGUACUGAAACAUUGGGUGCUGUUUUUGGUGUUUUUCCAUUAUGCAAUAAAGCUUUAAAAAAAGUAAAAUGA